RNAcentral lists this ribosomal RNA (162 nucleotides) under uncultured bacterium. RNAcentral's name for it is "partial 16S rRNA". It matches the Rfam family "Bacterial small subunit ribosomal RNA", at positions 358 to 512 of the family's 1533-position model. The record is from RNAcentral.
GGAAUCUUCCACAAUGGACGAAAGUCUGAUGGAGCAACGCCGCGUGAGUGAAGAAGGGUUUCGGCUCGUAAAACUCUGUUGUUAAAGAAGAACAUAUCUGAGAGUAACUGUUCAGGUAUUGACGGUAUUUAACCAGAAAGCCACGGCUAACUACGUGCCAAG